Molecule: small nuclear RNA, 105 nt
Organism: Manis pentadactyla (Chinese pangolin)
Lineage: Eukaryota; Metazoa; Chordata; Mammalia; Pholidota; Manidae
Source: RefSeq, a predicted model, not a curated record
AUGCUUACUUGGGCAACACAUGUACUAAAACUGGAACAAUUCAGAGAUUUAGCACGGCCUCUGCUCAAGAAAGACACACAAAGUGGUGAAGCGUUCCCUACUUUC